CUGUGAUGGUCCCAUUUUUUAUUGAAAACUACUAUUUCUCUCUUUCCUCUGGCAUUUUCCCCUCUUCCUUCAAACAUGCAGUUAGCAUGUGCAUAUGUUCUCUUGUCCCAGAUUCUUUGCCUAACUGUUGUCCUUUCUCUCUCUUUCCCUUUGCCUCCACGCUCCUUGAAAGACUUCUGCAUACUCAACAUGCACACCAUCUAAGCUCCAAAUCCUUACAGUCUGGCUUUCAUUACCAAUAUCCCACUGAUACCAUCCUAACCAAGGUGACUAAUGACUAAAGGCAAAUCCAAGGCAAUUAUUAGCCACUUAUUCUUUGUGAUCUUUCUGCUGUUUUCAACACUAUUGACCACUUGCUUCUCCUUCACACCCUUCACAACAUUGGCCUCAGUGACAAUGCUCUUUCCUAGUUCUCUUCUUAACUCAUUGACUGCUGCUUUAGUGUCUCCUUCUCUGGUUCCUUGUCCCCUUCUGUACCUCUCACAGUUGGAGAUCCUCAAGGAGGAUAAUUGCAUAGAGUGUCAUUGUAGAGAGGACUGUGGAGAAAGUGAGCAAUUAAUGUGUUUUGUUUUUUUUGUAUGGCAGAUAGGUUGCAGCUAGAGGCUUUCAAUUCCACAUUUGAGAGACUGUCCGAUUGGGUCUUCAAGCAAUCAAUCA
Pelobates cultripes (western spadefoot toad) is the source of this 657-nucleotide non-coding RNA. Lineage: Eukaryota; Metazoa; Chordata; Amphibia; Anura; Pelobatidae. The record is from the annotation of a GenBank genome assembly.